This 79-nucleotide transfer RNA is filed under the name Alphaproteobacteria bacterium. Its description in RNAcentral is "tRNA-OTHER". It matches the Rfam family "Selenocysteine transfer RNA". Lineage: Bacteria; Pseudomonadati; Pseudomonadota; Alphaproteobacteria. The record is from RNAcentral.
GGAAGGGGCGCUCGGACUUCAAAUCCGGUGAGACGCGUACCACGUGUCUGGUGGGUUCGACUCCCACCCUCUUCCGCCA